CCCCAGAGUCCCCGAUUUAGCCGCUCAUGAGCUCGUGGUAUUUUCCUUAUAUGAUCAGGCUCCAUUGCUGGUGAUGCCACUAGCCUGGAGCCUGAAAAGAUUAUGAAAAUGUGUCUGGCGAAGUGGGGCUGGGGACCGGGGG
Molecule: non-coding RNA, 142 nt
Organism: Lynx canadensis (Canada lynx)
Lineage: Eukaryota; Metazoa; Chordata; Mammalia; Carnivora; Felidae
Product: small Cajal body-specific RNA 17
Source: Ensembl